Molecule: ribosomal RNA, 322 nt
Filed under: uncultured eukaryote
Lineage: Eukaryota
Description: partial 18S ribosomal RNA
Rfam family: Eukaryotic small subunit ribosomal RNA
Source: RNAcentral
CCCUUAGAUGUUCUGGGCCGCACGCGUGCUACACUGAGUAAUUCAAUGGGUAAGGGAACGCUAGAGCAUUACCUAAUCUUGAAAUUUGCUCGUGAUGGGGAUCGACGGUUGCAAUUUUCCGUCGUGAACGAGGAAUACCGUGUAGGCGCAUGUCAUCAUCAUGCGCCGAAUACGUCCCUGCCCUUUGUACACACCGCCCGUCGCUCCUACCGAUUGAGUGAUCCGGUGAGGCUCUGGGACCUGGACGGAAAGAGCGUUUCGCUUGUUCUGUUUGGGAAACUUGGUCGAACCUUAUCAUUUAGAGGAAGGAGAAGUCGUAACA